CCCUUAGAUGUUCUGGGCCGCACGCGCGCUACACUGAUGCGUCCAGUAAGCACCUAACCUCUUCCGAAAGGAACGGGUAACCUUUGCAAAGCACAUCGUGAUGGGGAUAGAUUAUUGCAAUUAUUAGUCUUGAACGAGGAAUUCCUAGUAAGCACAAGUCAUCAGCUUGUGUUGAUUACGUCCCUGCCCUUUGUACACACCGCCCGUCGCUCCUACCGAUUGAAUGUUCCGGUGAGCUCUUCGGACUGCGCGGUCUGCAGUUUCUGCGUUCCGUGCGGAAAGUUGCGCAAACCUUAACAUUUAGAGGAAGGAGAAGUCGUAACA
This 324-nucleotide ribosomal RNA is filed under the name uncultured eukaryote. RNAcentral describes it as "partial 18S ribosomal RNA". It matches the Rfam family "Eukaryotic small subunit ribosomal RNA", at positions 1470 to 1796 of the family's 1831-position model. The record is from RNAcentral.